AGAAGAUUAUGAGGGAAAGGAAAUUGACAAGGCAUGAUAUUGGUCGUGAAAGCUUUGUAACUGAAGUGAGUUUAGCCACCUCAUCUUAUUACUCUUAUAAUAUAUAUAUGUGUGUGUGUGUGUGUGUGUGUGUGUGUGUGGAGGAGGGGGAGAGAGACUUAUGCUUGGGCCUAGUAGAAAUAUGAAGGCUAAGACACCAAGUUACCUAUAUAAAGGACUUCUA
RNAcentral lists this small RNA (223 nucleotides) under Olea europaea subsp. europaea. The record is from RNAcentral. Lineage: Eukaryota; Viridiplantae; Streptophyta; Magnoliopsida; Lamiales; Oleaceae.